GUUUCUAAGGACUUACUCAAUACCUUUGGACUAUAUAAACUUUUACUGGGGAGGGGGCCGCCAGCCUGCAGCUUGGAUUAUUUAGAAAUUGCCUGUUGUCUGAGCCAACCCCCGACCUCUCCACCAACUCCCUUCCCUUCCUCACCUUCUGGCCUACCUACUUCUGAAAUGGACAAGCGCUUGAAAUCGGCUAGGAGAAAGACCACAGCCUCACCCCUACUCUUUGUUCCAUUCCUGGAUCCAGCCUUCUGACUGAAGAAAACAUACCAAAUUCCUGGACCAAGAGAAAGGACCUUAAACACUGAGCUUUUGACCGAUUCCUGUGAACCAACCCCUCCGUCAGCAGCAUCAAUCUCACACCCCACUCCUAUGACCUGUCCCUAAUCUUGAGUGUGUUGUAUCCAGACCUCAUUUGUCCAUUACAUUUGGA
Molecule: long non-coding RNA, 430 nt
Filed under: Phascolarctos cinereus (koala)
Lineage: Eukaryota; Metazoa; Chordata; Mammalia; Diprotodontia; Phascolarctidae
Description: lncRNA (ENSPCIG00000010560.2)
Source: RNAcentral